This 319-nucleotide ribosomal RNA is filed under the name uncultured bacterium. RNAcentral describes it as "bacterial SSU rRNA". It matches the Rfam family "Bacterial small subunit ribosomal RNA", at positions 28 to 334 of the family's 1533-position model. The record is from RNAcentral.
GAUGAACGCUAGCGAUAGGCCUAACACAUGCAAGUCGAGGGGCAUCGGGGCGAGGAGCAAUCCUUGCCGCCGGCGACCGGCGCACGGGUGAGUAACGCGUAUGCGACCUGCCCGUUGCAGGGGGAUAAUCGGGAGAAAUCCCGUCUAAUACCGCGUAACGCCGCGGGGCUGCAUGGCCCUGCGGCCAAAGGAAGCGAUUCCGGCAACGGAUGGGCAUGCGUGACAUUAGCUAGUUGGCGGGGCAACGGCCCACCAAGGCGACGAUGCGUAGGGGUUCUGAGAGGAAGGUCCCCCACACUGGUACUGAGACACGGACCAG